GCCGCCUUUUAGAAAUGACAUACAAGGCGGAGUGUCAAUUGGGAACGAAUGAACGACACACACCAGGUAAUAUCACUCCGUUCUAAUUAAUUGCUGUGGAAUUGAAAUGGCGACCAGCCUGGGUAAAUUGUGGGGUCGCCCGGAGGAUAAGUCGAACAAAUAACGCCAGCACUCACUCACCGAAAACCCUCGCCAGAGACUGACUUCUCUCUCUGCUCUUUGGAAAAGUUAAACCAAGUGCUGAACGCUGUGUGGAGCUCCAAGUCCGCCUUUAAACUUGAGCAUUUUUUUUCUCAAAAGCAGGAUUCUUAGAAACAUUUAAAAUAAAAAAUAUAUAUAUAAGGCUCCAAACCCAACCCAAGCACCAAAGAAAGAAGAAACAAAAAAUAAAACACUCGUUAUUUUGUAAACAA
Molecule: long non-coding RNA, 413 nt
Organism: Amblyraja radiata (thorny skate)
Lineage: Eukaryota; Metazoa; Chordata; Chondrichthyes; Rajiformes; Rajidae
Exons: 2
Source: RefSeq, a predicted model, not a curated record